Molecule: ribosomal RNA, 271 nt
Filed under: uncultured Peptostreptococcaceae bacterium
Lineage: Bacteria; Bacillati; Bacillota; Clostridia; Peptostreptococcales; Peptostreptococcaceae
Description: partial 16S ribosomal RNA
Rfam family: Bacterial small subunit ribosomal RNA
Source: RNAcentral
AAGUCGAGCGAUUUACUUCGGUAAAGAGCGGCGGACGGGUGAGUAACGCGUGGGUAACCUGCCCUGUACACACGGAUAACAUACCGAAAGGUAUGCUAAUACGAGAUAAUAUGCUUUUAUCGCAUGGUAGAAGUAUCAAAGCUCCGGCGGUACAGGAUGGGCCCGCGUCUGAUUAGCUAGUUGGUGAGGUAAUGGCUCACCAAGGCGACGAUCAGUAGCCGACCUGAGAGGGUGACCGGCCACAUUGGAACUGAGACACGGUCCAAACUCC